UACAGAGGUCCCGAGCGUUGUUCGGAUUCAUUGGGCGUAAAGGGUGCGUAGGUGGCGCUGUAAGUGGGGUGUGAAAUCCCGGGGCUUAACCCCGGGACUGCAUUCCAUACUGCGGUGCUUGAGGACUGGAGAGGAGACUGGAAUUUACGGUGUAGCAGUGAAAUGCGUAGAGAUCGUAAGGAAGACCAGUGGCGAAGGCGGGUCUCUGGACAGUUCCUGACACUGAGGAGCGAAAGUGUGGGGAGCGAACAGG
This 253-nucleotide ribosomal RNA is filed under the name uncultured bacterium. Its description in RNAcentral is "partial 16S ribosomal RNA". It matches the Rfam family "Bacterial small subunit ribosomal RNA", at positions 524 to 776 of the family's 1533-position model. The record is from RNAcentral.